ACUUUCAAGGGACAGAAGCAGCCCACUAAUUUUAGGAAUUACCACCCCCUGGUGCAAAUCCAGGUGAAAGUA
This 72-nucleotide transfer RNA is filed under the name Cyrtodactylus louisiadensis. Its description in RNAcentral is "tRNA-Leu". The record is from RNAcentral. Lineage: Eukaryota; Metazoa; Chordata; Lepidosauria; Squamata; Gekkonidae.